This 305-nucleotide ribosomal RNA is filed under the name uncultured bacterium. Its description in RNAcentral is "bacterial SSU rRNA". It matches the Rfam family "Bacterial small subunit ribosomal RNA", at positions 336 to 657 of the family's 1533-position model. The record is from RNAcentral.
UUCCUACGGGAGGCAGCAGUCGGGAAUAUUGCGCAAUGGAGGAAACUCUGACGCAGUGACGCCGCGUAUAGGACGAAGGUCUUCGGAUUGUAAACUAUUGUCGUUAGGGAAGAGAAAGGACAGUACCUAAGGAGGAAGCUCCGGCUAACUACGUGCCAGCAGCCGCGGUAAUACGUAGGGAGCAAGCGUUAUCCGGAAUGAUUGGGCGUAAAGGGUGCGCAGGCGGUCCUGCAAGUCUGGAGUGAAACGCAUGAGCUCAACUCAUGCAUGGCUUUGGAAACUGGAGGACUGGAGAGCAGGAGAGG